RNAcentral lists this ribosomal RNA (482 nucleotides) under uncultured bacterium. RNAcentral's name for it is "partial 16S ribosomal RNA". It matches the Rfam family "Bacterial small subunit ribosomal RNA", at positions 30 to 507 of the family's 1533-position model. The record is from RNAcentral.
AUUGAACGCUGGCGGCAUGCUUUACACAUGCCAGUCGAACGGUAACAGGCCGCAAGGUGCUGACGAGUGGCGAACGGGUGAGUAAUGCAUCGGAACGUGCCCAGUCGUGGGGGAUAACUACUCGAAAGAGUAGCUAAUACCGCAUACGAUCUAUGGAUGAAAGCGGGGGACCGUAAGGCCUCGCGCGAUUGGAGCGGCCGAUGUCAGAUUAGGUAGUUGGUGGGGUAAAGGCUCACCAAGCCAACGAUCUGUAGCUGGUCUGAGAGGACGACCAGCCACACUGGGACUGAGACACGGCCCAGACUCCUACGGGAGGCAGCAGUGGGGAAUUUUGGACAAUGGGCGCAAGCCUGCUCCAGCAAUGCCGCGUGGAGGAAGAAGGCCUUCGGGUUGUAAACUGCUUUUGUACGGAACGAAACGGCUCUGGUUAAUACCCGGGGCUAAUGACGGUACCGUAAGAAUAAGCACCGGCUAACUACGUG